AAAUUAAGUAAGUGUGGAGGAGAUGAAGAGACUAAUCCUAUGUACAAAAUUAAAACUUAAGAGUUGAAAAGAUCUGACCAAUGGGUAGCAAUCCAAUAGACAAGAAUGUCUUAUAGAAAACCCAAAUUCCCUUGGAUAUUAGAAUCAAGCCACAAACAAUGCAUACAAUAUUAUCUUAAAGAGAAAGGCAUCAAAUAAAGAUAGCCCUAUCCAAU
This 215-nucleotide long non-coding RNA is filed under the name Lathyrus oleraceus (garden pea). RNAcentral's name for it is "Pisum sativum (pea) long non-coding RNA (PSAT_LNC019081)". The record is from RNAcentral. Lineage: Eukaryota; Viridiplantae; Streptophyta; Magnoliopsida; Fabales; Fabaceae.